Molecule: ribosomal RNA, 236 nt
Filed under: uncultured bacterium
Lineage: Bacteria
Description: partial 16S ribosomal RNA
Rfam family: Bacterial small subunit ribosomal RNA
Source: RNAcentral
UGAGCAAACCUAGCCCUUACAACAUCGGAAUAACCCCGGGAAACCGGGGCUAAUACCGAAUACGACCACCGACGAUAUCGUCUGGUGGUGGAAAGCUCCGGCGGUGAGGGAUGGGCUCGCGGCCUAUCAGCUAGUCGGUGGGGUGACGGCCCACCAAGGCGACGACGGGUAGCCGGCUGAGAGGGUGAUCGGCCACACUGGGACAGAGACACGGCCCAGACUCCUACGGGAGGCAG